AGUUGACAUGGCGGGAUCCAGAGUACCACGAGACACGUGGAACCUUGUGGGAAGAUGCGGGGACCACCCCGUAAGGCUAAAUACUACUUAGUGACCGAUAGCGCAUAGUACUGUGAAGGAAAGGUGAAAAGGACCCCGGGAGGGGAGUGAAAAAGAACCUGAACCCAUAUGUUUACAAGCUGUGGAAGAGCUUUAUAUGCUCAACCGCGUACUUUUUGUAGAACGGUCCGGCGAGUUACGCUGGCUGGCGAGGUUAAGGACUAAAGGUCCGGAGCCGAAGGGAAACCAAGUCUGAACAGGGCGCAUAGUCAGUCGGAGUAGACCCGAAACCGGGUGAUCUAUCCAUGUCCAGGUUGAAGUUGCCGUAAAAGGCAAUGGAGGACCGAACCCACAUCCGUUGAAAAGGGUGGGGAUGAGGUGUGGAUAGGGGAGAAAUUCCAAUCGAACCCGGAGAUAGCUGGUUCUCCUCGAAAUAGCUUUAGGGCUAGCCUCAUACGAGUCUUGCGGAGGUAGAGCACUGAAUUCCUAAGGGGGCGUCAAAGCUUACUAAGGGAUAUCAAACUCCGAAUGCCGUGUAGAUGAUGUAUGGGAGUCAGACGAUCCGAGAUAAGUUGGGUGGUCAAAAGGGAAAGAGCCCAGACCAACAGCUAAGGCCCCAAAAUGUGUGUUAAGUGGAAAAGGAUGUGGGAUUUCGAAGACAACUAGGAUGUUGGCUCAGAAGCAGCCAUUCAUUCAAAGAGUGCGUAAUAGCUCACUAGUCGAGAGGUCCUGCGCCGAAAAUGUCCGGGGCUAAAACACACUGCCGAAGCUUUGGAAUUGAGAAUUCAAUUGGUAGAGGAGCAUUCUUAAAGGGACGAAGCAGUACCGUAAGGAGCUGUGGACUUUUAAGAAGAGAGAAUGCCGGAAUGAGUAGCGAGAGGAAGGUGGGAAUCCUUCCGGCCGAAUAUCUAAGGUUUCCAGAGUAAAGCUGAUCUGCUCUGGGUAAGUCGGGGCCUAAGGCGAGGUCGAAAGACGUAGUCGAUGGAUAACAGGUUGAAAUUCCUGUACUAUCCUGUAACAGAACUGUGGGGACACAGGCAGAGAGCGUGAGCCGGGAAUGGAAAGACCGGUACAAGCGAGGUAGGAGAAGAGUUGGCAAAUCCGCUCUUUAAUCUGAAGACGUGAUGUGGACUGAAAAUAAGUAGGGAAGCACGUGAGCUGACUGUCAAGAAAAGCCGCUAUUGUUUGCAGGAUACCCGUACCGUAAACCGACACAGGUGGAUGAGGAGAGAAUCCUAAGGCCGACGGGAGAAGCAUUGUUAAGGAACUCGGCAAAAUGACUCCGUAACUUCGGGAGAAGGAGUGCCAGUAAGAUGGCCGCAGAGAAUUGGCCCAAGCAACUGUUUAGCAAAAACACAGGUCUAUGCAAAACCGAAAGGUGAGGUAUAUGGGCUGACGCCUGCCCGGUGCUGGAAGGUUAAGGGGAGAGGUUAGCGCAAGCGAAGCUUUGAACUUAAGCCCCAGUAAACGGCGGCCGUAACUAUAACGGUCCUAAGGUAGCGAAAUUCCUUGUCGGGUAAGUUCCGACCCGCACGAAAGGCGUAAUGAUUUGGGCACUGUCUCAACAAUGCACCCGGUGAAAUUGAAAUACCAGUGAAGAUGCUGGUUACCUGCGCCAGGACGGAAAGACCCCAUGGAGCUUUACUC
Molecule: ribosomal RNA, 1686 nt
Filed under: human gut metagenome
Description: bacterial LSU rRNA
Rfam family: Bacterial large subunit ribosomal RNA
Source: RNAcentral